This 279-nucleotide unclassified non-coding RNA is filed under the name Hevea brasiliensis (rubber tree). Lineage: Eukaryota; Viridiplantae; Streptophyta; Magnoliopsida; Malpighiales; Euphorbiaceae. The record is from RNAcentral.
ACCGAACUCCUUUACUUUCUCAGGCAUGUCUCUGUAUUACAUAUUUAAAGCCAAAUGUACGAUACGUACGCAUAUCCAUUUACAUCUUUUUCUUCUCGACUCCAAUAUUUGCAUUCACAUUUUAUACGAAGAAGGCAUAAGGAUGCAGAAACACUCUCGAGUGAAUUGGAAAGAAAAGCUUUCUGUAGUUUCCAAAGUAGGACAGAAGCCUUGCGUGCGGAUGUAUAUCAUUAACUUGUUUUAUAUUGCCAGGGCAUUGGUAGACUCUUCAGCUGCCUG